UACGGAAGGCAGCAGUGGGGAAUAUUGCACAAUGGGCGAAAGCCUGAUGCAGCUAUGCCGCGUGUAUGAAGAAGGCCUUAGGGUUGUAAAGUACUUUCAUCGGGGAGGAAAAAACAAAACUAAUAAUUUUAUUUCUUGACGUUACCCGAAAAAGAAGCACCGGCUAACUCCGUGCCAGCAGCCGCGGUAAUACGGAGGGUGCUAGCGUUAAUCAGAAUUACUGGGCGUAAAGAGCACGUAGGUGGUUUUUUAAGUCAGAUGUGAAAUCCCUGGGCUUAACCUAGGAACUGCAUUUUGAAACUGAAAUACUAGAAGUAUCGUAGAGGGAGGUAGAAUUCUAGGUGUAGCGGUGAAAUGCGUAGAUAUCUGGAGGAAUACCUGUGGCGAAAGCGGCCUCCUAAACGAAUACUGACACUGAGGUGCGAAAAGCGUGGGGAGCAAAACAGGGAUUAGAUACC
RNAcentral lists this ribosomal RNA (458 nucleotides) under uncultured bacterium. RNAcentral's name for it is "bacterial SSU rRNA". It matches the Rfam family "Bacterial small subunit ribosomal RNA", at positions 340 to 786 of the family's 1533-position model. The record is from RNAcentral.